Molecule: ribosomal RNA, 402 nt
Filed under: Triticum aestivum (bread wheat)
Lineage: Eukaryota; Viridiplantae; Streptophyta; Magnoliopsida; Poales; Poaceae
Description: partial small subunit ribosomal RNA
Source: RNAcentral
AUGGGCUCUCUCAUGGCUGGCUGGAGCUCCCAUGCGCUCGACGACGACCUCAAAGUUCGUUUUAUGAGGAACCGGUCGCUGACCAAGGACGAGGUGGAGGCCUUCUGGAGGCAGCACAAGAAGCCGGCGCCGGAGGGCAACGUCGACGGCGGCGAGACCGUCGUCGCCUCCUCUCCCAAGGGGAGCCCGAGGUCGACCCCGCGUCCGUCGACUCUGUCUCAUGUCCGUUCGUCGCCGCCGGUGAUGACUACUAGCGUGGACGGUGACGGCGAGGCUGCCGCUAGCCCCAGCGCGAGCCGCGAUUGGUGGACGAGGAGCAGCUGGGCGUUCCUCAACGAGCCGCCGCCGCCGCCGAAGCGCGAGGGAGCAGGCGUUAGGCAAGGCGCCGCCGCCGCCGUCUGA